Molecule: ribosomal RNA, 460 nt
Filed under: uncultured bacterium
Lineage: Bacteria
Description: partial 16S ribosomal RNA
Rfam family: Bacterial small subunit ribosomal RNA
Source: RNAcentral
CCUACGGGAGGCAGCAGUGAGGAAUAUUGGUCAAUGGGCGCAAGCCUGAACCAGCCAAGUCGCGUGAGGGAUGACGGUCCUAUGGAUUGUAAACCUCUUUUGUCGGGGAGAAAGGCCCGCCACGUGUGGCGGGAAGGAGAGUACCCGAAGAAAAAGCAUCGGCUAACUCCGUGCCAGCAGCCGCGGUAAUACGGAGGAUGCGAGCGUUAUCCGGAUUUAUUGGGGUUAAAGGGUGCGUUGGGGGAAUGUUAAGUCAGUGGUAAAAUUUCGGUGCUCAACACCGGCCUGCCGUUGAAACUGGUCUUCUUGAGUGAGCGAGAAGUAUGCGGAAUGCGUGGUGUAGCGGUGAAAUGCAUAGAUAUCACGCAGAACUCCGAUUGCGAAGGCAGCAUACCGGCGCUCAACUGACGCUGAGGCACGAAAGCGUGGGGAUCGAACAGGAUUAGAUACCCGGGUAGUC